AGGAUGAACGCUAGCUACAGGCUUAACACAUGCAAGUCGAGGGGCAGCAUUUUAGUUUGCUUGCAAACUGAAGAUGGCGACCGGCGCACGGGUGAGCAACACGUAUCCAACCUGCCGAUAACUCCGGGAUAGCCUUUCGAAAGAAAGAUUAAUACCGGAUAGUAUACGAAUAUCGCAUGAUAUUUUUAUUAAAGAAUUUCGGUUAUCGAUGGGGAUGCGUUCCAUUAGUUUGUUGGCGGGGUAACGGCCCACCAAGACUACGAUGGAUAGGGGUUCUGAGAGGAAGGUCCCCCACAUUGGAACUGAGACACGGUCCAAACUCCUACGGGAGGCAGCAGUGAGGAAUAUUGGUCAAUGGGCGCGAGCCUGAACCAGCCAAGUAGCGUGAAGGAUGAAGGCUCUAUGGGUUGUAAACUUCUUUUAUAUGGGAAUAAAGUUUUCCACGUGUGGAAUUUUGUAUGUACCAUAUGAAUAAGGAUCGGCUAACUCCGUGCCAGCAGCCGCGGUAAUACGGAGGAUCCGAGCGUUAUCCGGAUUUAUUGGGUUUAAAGGGAGCGUAGGUGGAUUGUUAAGUCAGUUGUGAAAGUUUGCGGCUCAACCGUAAAAUUGCAGUUGAAACUGGCAGUCUUGAGUACAGUAGAGGUGGGCGGAAUUCGUGGUGUAGCGGUGAAAUGCUUAGAUAUCACGAAGAACUCCGAUUGCGAAGGCAGCUCACUAGACUGUCACUGACACUGAUGCUCGAAAGUGUGGGGUAUCAAACAGGAUUAGAUACCCUGGUAGUCCACACAGUAAACGAUGAAUACUCGCUGUUUGCGAUAUACAGUAAGCGGCCAAGCGAAAGCAUUAAGUAUUCCACCUGGGGAGUACGCCGGCAACGGUGAAACUCAAAGGAAUUGACGGGGGCCCGCACAAGCGGAGGAACAUGUGGUUUAAUUCGAUGAUACGCGAGGAACCUUACCCGGGCUUAAAUUGCAACAGAAUAUAUUGGAAACAGUAUAGCCGUAAGGCUGUUGUGAAGGUGCUGCAUGGUUGUCGUCAGCUCGUGCCGUGAGGUGUCGGCUUAAGUGCCAUAACGAGCGCAACCCUUAUCUUUAGUUACUAACAGGUGAUGCUGAGGACUCUAGAGAGACUGCCGUCGUAAGAUGUGAGGAAGGUGGGGAUGACGUCAAAUCAGCACGGCCCUUACGUCCGGGGCUACACACGUGUUACAAUGGGGGGUACAGAAGGCGGCUACCUGGUGACAGGAUGCUAAUCCCAAAAACCUCUCUCAGUUCGGAUCGAAGUCUGCAACCCGACUUCGUGAAGCUGGAUUCGCUAGUAAUCGCGCAUCAGCCAUGGCGCGGUGAAUACGUUCCCGGGCCUUGUACACACCGCCCGUCAAGCCAUGAAAGCCGGGGGUACCUGAAGUACGUAACCGCAAGGAGCGUCCUAGGGUAAAACUGGUAAUUGGGGCU
Molecule: ribosomal RNA, 1454 nt
Filed under: uncultured organism
Description: SSU rRNA
Rfam family: Bacterial small subunit ribosomal RNA
Source: RNAcentral